CACAAAUGCUGGUUCUGGUAAACCUAACGCAAGACCUUGGGAUAGAAUUUAAACUAUGAGAAUUGCAUCUUAUUUCGGAACUGAUGGCAAUGUUUAAGUCUUAUUGUAUAAAUAAUCAAGUACAACAAAGAAGAUCUGUUAUAAGAGGGACGAGUGCCAGAAUGAAGUCUGGGAAAUAAAUAGUUGUUGCAGUAGAUUUGGAAAAGCAGGAAGAGCCCUCUCUCUCCCGAUGCUGAAACCUUGGUCAUUGGUUGAUCUGUAGCACUCGCUGCGCACUGCCGGGCUCUGUUCCCUGGCUGCUUUUCCAUUGCUAAGCAUCAGCAAACCUAUCGUGAUGUUCUGUUUUUAGGAAUUCUUUGACAGUGGGAAACUUGCCCUCCCUCCCUCCUUUCCCUUCUUUGUCUUGCUUUGUAGUACAGGCUGGCCUCGAACUCACUGUUACCCUCCUGCCUCAGACUCCCCAUUGCUGGGAUUGCAGGCAUGCGCCACCACGCCCGGCACUCAAUUUAAAUACAGUCCAUGUAACAUUUAACUUUACUGCCACCGCACCCUCCUCAUGCAGUCUUGUUAAGAGGAGCUAUGGAACUUUACCACUGUAUUGCUGUUUUAGUUCUCAUUGACUAAUACCGUAGUGCCAGAGGCUAAAUGAGUAUUGGCUCAACGAAUGAAUUUAAUUAGUCCCAGAAGAUCAAGUGGUGAUAGAAAGACUUGAUAUCUUAUCCUUUGACAGAACAUGUUGUAAAGGAUAAAAUAGCCUUGAUUUGCUACUGGUCUCAGUGAGUGCCUUCGGUCAACACACCAGAAAAUCCAGGACUUCUGGGACUGUUGGGAGCAGUUUGAUGGAGAAAACAGAAUGUCAACUGGGCUUUGAAGAAGAAUUAAGAGACUUCCUGUAACAUGCAGUGAAGAGUAAUUCACUUACACAAGAGAGAUGUGUGCCAUGAACAUCUGUUCUUAUCUAUUGCCUUGGAGGAAGAAGGAACCCUCUUUUUGUCCAGUGUUAAUGUUUCUAAUUGUAAUUGCGAG
Heterocephalus glaber (naked mole-rat) is the source of this 1026-nucleotide long non-coding RNA. The record is from Ensembl. NCBI's taxonomy places the organism in Eukaryota, Metazoa, Chordata, Mammalia, Rodentia, Bathyergidae.